This 492-nucleotide ribosomal RNA is filed under the name uncultured bacterium. RNAcentral's name for it is "partial 16S ribosomal RNA". It matches the Rfam family "Bacterial small subunit ribosomal RNA", at positions 29 to 507 of the family's 1533-position model. The record is from RNAcentral.
AGUGAACGCUGGCGGUAGGCCUAACACAUGCAAGUCGAACGGCAGCACAGUAAGAGCUUGCUCUUACGGGUGGCGAGUGGCGGACGGGUGAGGAAUACAUCGGAAUCUACUUUUUCGUGGGGGAUAACGUAGGGAAACUUACGCUAAUACCGCAUACGACCUACGGGUGAAAGCAGGGGAUCUUCGGACCUUGCGCGAUUGAAUGAGCCGAUGUCGGAUUAGCUAGUUGGCGGGGUAAAGGCCCACCAAGGCGACGAUCCGUAGCUGGUCUGAGAGGAUGAACAGCCACACUGGAACUGAGACACGGUCCAGACUCCUACGGGAAGCAGCAGUGGGGAAUAUUGGACAAUGGGCGCAAGCCUGAUCCAGCCAUACCGCGUGGGUGAAGAAGGCCUUCGGGUUGUAAAGCCCUUUUGUUGGGAAAGAAAAGCAGCAGGUUAAUACCCCGCUGUUCUGACGGUACCCAAAGAAUAAGCACCGGCUAACUUCGUG